RNAcentral lists this ribosomal RNA (441 nucleotides) under uncultured bacterium. Its description in RNAcentral is "partial 16S ribosomal RNA". It matches the Rfam family "Bacterial small subunit ribosomal RNA", at positions 338 to 795 of the family's 1533-position model. The record is from RNAcentral.
CCUACGGGGGGCAGCAGUGGGGAAUAUUGCACAAUGGGGGAAACCCUGAUGCAGCGACGCCGCGUGAGUGAAGAAGUAUUUCGGUAUGUAAAGCUCUAUCAGCAGGGAAGAAGAAAGACGGUACCUGACUCAGAAGCCCCGGCUAACUACGUGCCAGCAGCCGCGGUAAUACGUAGGGGGCAAGCGUUAUCCGGAUUUACUGGGGGUAAAGGGAGCGUAGACGGCUGUGCAAGUCUGAAGUGAAAGCCCAGGGCUCAACCCUGGGACUGCUUUGGAAACUGUGGGGCUAGAGUGCGGGAGAGGUAAGUGGAAUGCGUAGUGUAGCGGUGAAAUGCGUAGAUAUUAGGAGGAACACCAGUGGCGAAGGCGGCUUACUGGACAGUAACUGACGUUGAGGCUCGAAAGCGUGGGGAGCAAACAGGAUUAGAUACCCUGGUAGUC